GACGAACGCUGGCGGCGUGCUUAACACAUGCAAGUCGAACGGAAAGGCCCUGCUUUUGUGGGGUGCUCGAGUGGCGAACGGGUGAGUAACACGUGAGUAACCUGCCCUUGACUUUGGGAUAACUUCAGGAAACUGGGGCUAAUACCGGAUAGGAGCUCCUGCUGCAUGGUGGGGGUUGGAAAGUUUCGGCGGUUGGGGAUGGACUCGCGGCUUAUCAGCUUGUUGGUGGGGUAGUGGCUUACCAAGGCUUUGACGGGUAGCCGGCCUGAGAGGGUGACCGGACCAUUGGGGCAAGGUAAAGCGCCCAAGACCCGAGGGGGGGCAAAGGGGGGAGAAUUUCACAAAGGGGGGGAAGCCGAAAGCAACAACACCGGGGGCGGGAGCGCGGCCUUUGGGUUUAAAACCCUUUUCGCCGGUGAAAAAGGGGGGGGGGCGGUAAGGGGUAAAAGAGACACGGCAAAACACGUU
Molecule: ribosomal RNA, 468 nt
Filed under: uncultured bacterium
Lineage: Bacteria
Description: partial 16S ribosomal RNA
Rfam family: Bacterial small subunit ribosomal RNA
Source: RNAcentral